GUAGGUGAACCUGCGGAAGGAUCAUUACCUUUUAGUACAGAAGCGUUGUGUGGGUUGAGUUGCGCUUGGGGAGUUGGCUACCUUUAGCUGGCUCCUUGAGUGGCAACUCCCCUCAUAAUACUCCCUGUAUAUCACCCUUGUCUUUGGCGCACCAUUGUUUCCUUGGCGGGCAUGCCCGCCAAUAGGACAAUCUUAUAACCUUUUUUAAUUUUCAAUCAGCGUCUGAAAUAAUUUUAAUAAUUACAACUUU
This 250-nucleotide unclassified non-coding RNA is filed under the name plant metagenome. RNAcentral describes it as "partial contains small subunit ribosomal RNA, internal transcribed spacer 1, and 5.8S ribosomal RNA". The record is from RNAcentral.